GAUGAACGCUGGCGGCGUGCCUAAUACAUGCAAGUCGAGCGAACAGACGAGGAGCUUGCUCCUCUGACGUUAGCGGCGGACGGGUGAGUAACACGUGGAUAACCUACCUAUAAGACUGGGAUAACUUCGGGAAACCGGAGCUAAUACCGGAUAAUAUAUUGAACCGCAUGGUUCAAUAGUGAAAGACGGUUUUGCUGUCACUUAUAGAUGGAUCCGCGCCGCAUUAGCUAGUUGGUAAGGUAAUGGCUUACCAAGGCAACGAUGCGUAGCCGACCUGAGAGGGUGAUCGGCCACACUGGAACUGAGACACGGUCCAGACUCCUACGGGAGGCAGCAGUAGGGAAUCUUACGCAAUGGGCGAAAGCCUGACGCAGCAACGCCGCGUGAGUGAUGAAGGUCUUCGGAUCGUAAAGCUCUGUUAUUAGGGAAGAACAGAUGUGUAAGUAACUAUGCACGUCUUGACGGUACCUAAUCAGAAAGCCACGGCUAACUACGUG
RNAcentral lists this ribosomal RNA (497 nucleotides) under uncultured bacterium. RNAcentral's name for it is "partial 16S ribosomal RNA". It matches the Rfam family "Bacterial small subunit ribosomal RNA", at positions 28 to 507 of the family's 1533-position model. The record is from RNAcentral.